This 600-nucleotide ribosomal RNA is filed under the name Odorrana bacboensis (Tonkin frog). Its description in RNAcentral is "partial 16S ribosomal RNA". It matches the Rfam family "Bacterial large subunit ribosomal RNA", at positions 1006 to 2074 of the family's 2925-position model. Lineage: Eukaryota; Metazoa; Chordata; Amphibia; Anura; Ranidae. The record is from RNAcentral.
UUAUUUGAAACAGGAUACAACCUACUACAUUGGGUAAGCAAGAGCAGUAAGAAACAAAGUGGGCCCAAAAGCAGCCACCUUCCAAAAAGCGUCAAAGCUUAAUUACUCUAACUAAUAAUCCCUAAAACACUCUCCAACCCCUCAUCCCUACUGAACUAUUUUAUAAAUCUAUAAAAAUAAUUAUGCUAGAACUAGUAACAAGAAGUUGCCCUUCUCCAUAAUGCAAGCAUAAACCAAAACGGACACUCCCUUGGUAAUCAACGUAAAUGUAAGACCAUAACAACACAACCAGAAAACCCUAUGGCCACCCACACGUUACCCUAACACCAGAGCAUUACAGGAAAGAUUAAAAGAUAAAGAAGGAACUCGGCAAAUUUUAACCCCGCCUGUUUACCAAAAACAUCGCCUCCUGAUUAAAUAUAGGAGGUCCAGCCUGCCCAGUGAUAAAAUUCAACGGCCGCGGUAUACUAACCGUGCGAAGGUAGCAUAAUCACUUGUUCUUUAAAUGGGGACUCGUAUCAACGGCAUCACGAGGGUUAUACUGUCUCCUCUAUCCAAUCAGUGAAACUGAUCCCCCCGUGAAGAAGCGGGGAUUUAACC